UAGGGAAUCUUGCACAAUGGGCGAAAGCCUGAUGCAGCAACGCCGCGUGAAGGAUGAAGGCCUUCGGGUUGUAAACUUCUGUUCUAAGGGAAGAAACAAAUGACGGUACCUUAGGAGCAAGCCCCGGCUAACUACGUGCCAGCAGCCGCGGUAAUACGUAGGGGGCAAGCGUUAUCCGGAAUUAUUGGGCGUAAAGAGUGCGUAGGUGGUUACCUAAGCGCAAGGUUUAAUUUAGAGGCUCAACCUCUACUUGCCUUGCGAACUGGGCUACUUGAGUGCAGGAGGGGAAAGCGGAAUUCCUAGUGUAGCGGUGAAAUGCGUAGAUAUUAGGAGGAACACCAGCGGCGAAGGCGGCUUUCUGGACUGUAACUGACACUGAGGCACGAAAGCGUGGGUAGCAAACAGGAUUAGAUACCCUGGUAGUCCACGCCGUAAACGAUGAGCACUAGGUGUUGGGCCCGUUAGGGCUCAGCGCCGCAGUUAACGCAAUAAGUGCUCCGCCUGGGGAGUACGCUCGCAAGAGUA
RNAcentral lists this ribosomal RNA (525 nucleotides) under uncultured bacterium. RNAcentral describes it as "bacterial SSU rRNA". It matches the Rfam family "Bacterial small subunit ribosomal RNA", at positions 355 to 896 of the family's 1533-position model. The record is from RNAcentral.